Molecule: ribosomal RNA, 550 nt
Filed under: uncultured bacterium
Lineage: Bacteria
Description: bacterial SSU rRNA
Rfam family: Bacterial small subunit ribosomal RNA
Source: RNAcentral
UAGGGAAUCUUCGGCAAUGGACGGAAGUCUGACCGAGCAACGCCGCGUGAGUGAAGAAGGUUUUCGGAUCGUAAAGCUCUGUUGUAAGAGAAGAACGAGUGUGAGAGUGGAAAGUUCACACUGUGACGGUAUCUUACCAGAAAGGGACGGCUAACUACGUGCCAGCAGCCGUGGUAAUACGUAGGUCCCGAGCGUUGUCCGGAUUUAUUGGGCGUAAAGCGAGCGCAGGCGGUUAGAUAAGUCUGAAGUUAAAGGCUGUGGCUUAACCAUAGUAGGCUUUGGAAACUGUUUAACUUGAGUGCAAGAGGGGAGAGUGGAAUUCCAUGUGUAGCGGUGAAAUGCGUAGAUAUAUGGAGGAACACCGGUGGCGAAAGCGGCUCUCUGGCUUGUAACUGACGCUGAGGCUCGAAAGCGUGGGGAGCAAACAGGAUUAGAUACCCUGGUAGUCCACGCUGUAAACGAUGAGUGCUAGGUGUUAGACCCUUUCCGGGGUUUAGUGCCGUAGCUAACGCAUUAAGCACUCCGCCUGGGGAGUACGACCGCAAGGUUG